UACGUAGGGUGCAAGCGUUGUCCGGAAUUAUUGGGCGUAAGAGCUCGUAGGCGGUCCGUCACGUCGGCUGUGAAAACCCGGGGCUCAACUCCGGGCCUGCAGUCGAUACGGGCGGACUAGAGUAUGGCAGGGGAGACUGGAAUUCCUGGUGUAGCGGUGAAAUGCGCAGAUAUCAGGAGGAACACCGGUGGCGAAGGCGGGUCUCUGGGCCAUAACUGACGCUGAGGAGCGAAAGCGUGGGGAGCGAACAGG
This 252-nucleotide ribosomal RNA is filed under the name uncultured bacterium. Its description in RNAcentral is "partial 16S ribosomal RNA". It matches the Rfam family "Bacterial small subunit ribosomal RNA", at positions 524 to 776 of the family's 1533-position model. The record is from RNAcentral.